RNAcentral lists this ribosomal RNA (436 nucleotides) under uncultured fungus. Its description in RNAcentral is "LSU rRNA". It matches the Rfam family "Eukaryotic large subunit ribosomal RNA", at positions 38 to 469 of the family's 3401-position model. Lineage: Eukaryota; Fungi. The record is from RNAcentral.
GCAUAUCAAUAAGCGGAGGAAAAGAAAAUAACAAUGAUUCCCUUAGUAACGGCGAGUGAAGGGGGAAAAGCUCAAAUUUUAAAUCUGCUAGGUUUUAUUUAUCAGAAUUGUAAUUUGAAGAAGCGUUUUCCGCGUCUCGGUUGGCCCAAAUCCUUUGGGAUAAGGUAUCAUGGAGGGUGAGAAUCCCGUUCGGUUGACCUUAGGACGCUCUACGAUACGCUCUCUAAGAGUCGAGUUGUUUGGGAUUGCAGCUCAAAAUGGGAGGUAAAUUUCUCCUAAGGCUAAAUAUCGGCGAGAGACCGAUAGCGAACAAGUACCGUGAGGGAAAGAUGAAAAGAACUUUGAAAAGAGGAGUAAAAUAGUACGUGAAAUUGUUGAAAGGGAAACGAUUGAAGUCAGUGGUACGGACGAGAAAUCAACUUAUCGUGUGCGAACU